UACGUAGGUGGCAAGCGUUGUCCGGAAUUACUGGGUGUAAAGGGAGCGCAGGCGGGGAAGCAAGUCGGCUGUGAAAUGCAUAGGCAUAACCUAUGAAUUGCAGUUGAAACUGUUUUUCUUUGAGUGGAGUAGAGGUAGGCGGAAUUCCGAGUGUAGCGGUGAAAUGCGUAGAUAUUCGGAGGAACACCAGUGGCGAAGGCGGCCUACUGGGCUCUAACUGACGCUGAGGCUCGAAAGUGUGGGGAGGCAAACAGGAUUAGAUACCCU
RNAcentral lists this ribosomal RNA (267 nucleotides) under uncultured prokaryote. RNAcentral's name for it is "partial 16S ribosomal RNA". It matches the Rfam family "Bacterial small subunit ribosomal RNA", at positions 524 to 788 of the family's 1533-position model. The record is from RNAcentral.